UACGUAGGGCGCAAGCGUUAUCCGGAAUUAUUGGGCGUAAAGAGCUCGUAGGCGGUUUGUCGCGUCUGCCGUGAAAGUCCGGGGCUUAACUCCAGAUCUGCGGUGGGUACGGGCAGACUAGAGUGCAGUAGGGGAGACUGGAAUUCCUGGUGUAGCGGUGAAAUGCGCAGAUAUCAGGAGGAACACCGAUGGCGAAGGCAGGUCUCUGGGCUGUAACUGACGCUGAGGAGCGAAAGCAUGGGGAGCGAACAGG
Molecule: ribosomal RNA, 253 nt
Filed under: uncultured bacterium
Lineage: Bacteria
Description: partial 16S ribosomal RNA
Rfam family: Bacterial small subunit ribosomal RNA
Source: RNAcentral